Molecule: non-coding RNA, 74 nt
Organism: Mariannaea sp. PMI_226
Lineage: Eukaryota; Fungi; Ascomycota; Sordariomycetes; Hypocreales; Nectriaceae
Source: the annotation of a GenBank genome assembly
GCUCUGGUGGCGCAAUUGGUUAGCGUAUGAGGCUUUUAACCUUAGGGUUGUGGGUUCGAGUCCCACCCAGAGCG